UGAGGAAUAUUGGUCAAUGGACGAGAGUCUGAACCAGCCAAGUAGCGUGCAGGAUGACGGCCCUAUGGGUUGUAAACCGCUUUUGUUUGGGAAUAAUCGACAUUACGUGUAAUGUUUUGCAUGUACCAUAUGAAUAAGGACCGGCUAAUUCCGUGCCAGCAGCCGCGGUAAUACGGAAGGUCCAGGCGUUAUCCGGAUUUAUUGGGUUUAAAGGGAGCGUAGGCUGUUUGUUAAGCGUGUUGUGAAAUGUAAGAGCUCAACUUUUAGAUUGCAGCGCGAACUGGCAGACUUGAGUGCGCACAACGUAGGCGGAAUUCAUGGUGUAGCGGUGAAAUGCUUAGAUAUCAUGACGAACUCCGAUUGCGAAGGCAGCUUACGGGAGCGCAACUGACGCUAAAGCUCGAAGGUGCGGGUAUCGAACAGG
RNAcentral lists this ribosomal RNA (424 nucleotides) under Verrucomicrobiota bacterium. RNAcentral describes it as "Verrucomicrobia bacterium partial 16S ribosomal RNA". It matches the Rfam family "Bacterial small subunit ribosomal RNA", at positions 355 to 776 of the family's 1533-position model. The record is from RNAcentral. Lineage: Bacteria; Pseudomonadati; Verrucomicrobiota.